GGCUACACACGUGCUACAAUGGGUAGAACAGAGAGUUGCAAAGCCGUGAGGUGAAGCCAAUCUCAGAAAACUAUUCUUAGUUCGGAUUGUACUCUGCAACUCGAGUACAUGAAGUUGGAAUCGCUAGUAAUCGCGAAUCAGCAAUGUCGCGGUGAAUACGUUCCCGGGUCUUGUACACACCGCCCGUCACACCACGAGAGUUGGUUGCACCUGAAGUAGCAGGCCUAACCGCAAGGAGGGAUGCUCCGAGGGUGUGAUUAGCGAUUGGGGUGAAGUCGUAACAAGGUAUCCGUACGGGAACGU
This 303-nucleotide ribosomal RNA is filed under the name uncultured Fusobacterium sp. Its description in RNAcentral is "bacterial SSU rRNA". It matches the Rfam family "Bacterial small subunit ribosomal RNA", at positions 1212 to 1513 of the family's 1533-position model. Lineage: Bacteria; Fusobacteriati; Fusobacteriota; Fusobacteriia; Fusobacteriales; Fusobacteriaceae. The record is from RNAcentral.